This is a long non-coding RNA of Actinia tenebrosa (Australian red waratah sea anemone), 814 nucleotides long. RefSeq lists it as uncharacterized. Lineage: Eukaryota; Metazoa; Cnidaria; Anthozoa; Actiniaria; Actiniidae. The record is from RefSeq and is a predicted model, not a curated record.
CUACCCGCGCCUUCAAGGGUCAAAGUACUUGUCAUCGUCCCGGCGUCUCGCAGGCUCUAAAUACUGCUUCGAUGAGGUAUCGUUGUUGCAGCAAUAAACUGUAAUCCUUUGGUGUUUUCUUUAGUUAAAAGAUUUCAAAGAAGAAUGAAAGAAACGGAUUUACAAGUCAGGGGUAGAAUAUACAGUCUGUUGGUCUCAUUUCGUCUUCUCAACAGUAGGAAAUGUUGUUUUUGUAUUCAAGAGUUUAAAGAGAGUACUGAAGGAAGAUUUGACGCAAAUCACCAUAUCUCAUCCGGGCAUACCGCCACCUACGUUGUGCCUUUCUUUGCAGGGCAUGUACGUCUGACCUACAUGCUACAAGGACGUACGUGCCCAUGGAGAUUGAAAGAAAAAAAAUCCUGAAUCUUUCUGAACCUUGGAAUGAUGCAAUAGACAAGAUUAACCUUUAGCCACCAUUGACUUUGUUUCCUGAAACUCUCCAGGCAAUGGAUUUUAAAUUGUCGGUGAGCUUUGUGGUUCUUUAGAUGCCUGGAUGCCUUGUGUGGAUUAUAGAGCUUUACUAUUUCCACAGAUGGGUCACUCAAAAGUCAAACUAGAUAAAGUGGAAUGAAAGAUAAAACUUAUCGGUUAAAGUCUCGUUUUCCCUUUUAGAGUCGUUUAAGGAAAUAAGAUGAACAAAGUCUUGUUUGUUUUGUGCACAUGGAUAUCAGAUAUAUUUUUCUAGUCAUUUUGUGAUCUAGUUUGAUUUACGAUUGGUUAAGUUAUCGAAAAUCAAACCAGAUUGAGUGGAUAGGAAAUAAAAUGAAUGCCGAGU